AUUUUUUUAGUAUAUAAGUAUAUCUGACUUCCAAUCAGAAGGUCUAGUUCUUCUAGAAAAAAUA
Molecule: transfer RNA, 64 nt
Filed under: Monomia gladiator
Lineage: Eukaryota; Metazoa; Arthropoda; Malacostraca; Decapoda; Portunidae
Description: tRNA-Gly
Rfam family: tRNA
About the family: Transfer RNA (tRNA) molecules are approximately 80 nucleotides in length. Their secondary structure includes four short double-helical elements and three loops (D, anti-codon, and T loops). Further hydrogen bonds mediate the characteristic L-shaped molecular structure. tRNAs have two regions of fundamental functional importance: the anti-codon, which is responsible for specific mRNA codon recognition, and the 3' end, to which the tRNAs corresponding amino acid is attached (by aminoacyl-tRNA synthetases). tRNAs cope with the degeneracy of the genetic code in two manners: having more than one tRNA (with a specific anti-codon) for a particular amino acid; and 'wobble' base-pairing, i.e. permitting non-standard base-pairing at the 3rd anti-codon position.
Source: RNAcentral